RNAcentral lists this ribosomal RNA (496 nucleotides) under uncultured bacterium. RNAcentral's name for it is "bacterial SSU rRNA". It matches the Rfam family "Bacterial small subunit ribosomal RNA", at positions 29 to 520 of the family's 1533-position model. The record is from RNAcentral.
AACGAACGCUGGCGGCGUGUUUAAGACAUGCAAGUCGCACGGGACUAUUUGAGUAGCAAUACAAGAAUAGUUUAGUGGCGCACGGGUGAGUAACACGUGAAUUACAUGCCCUGCAGAGGGGGAUAGCCCAGGGAAACUUGGAUUAAUACCCCAUGGUAUCGCGAGAUUAAAGGUGGCCGCAAGGCUGUCGCUGCAGGAUUGGUUCGCGCCCUAUCAGCUUGUUGGUGAGGUAACGGCUCACCAAGGCUACGACGGGUACCUGGUCUGAGAGGACUAACCCCCACACUGGUACUGAGACACGGACCAGACUCCUACGGGAGGCAGCAGUAAGGAAUAUUGGUCAAUGGAGGCAACUCUGAACCAGCCAUGCCGCGUGCAGGAUGACGGCCCUAUGGGUUGUAAACUGCUUUUGUACCAGAGAAAACCACCGUACGUGUACGGUGUUGAUAGUAUGGUAAGAAUAAGCAUCGGCUAACUUCGUGCCAGCAGCCGACGG